RNAcentral lists this ribosomal RNA (1082 nucleotides) under Mycobacterium sp. BB56. RNAcentral describes it as "bacterial SSU rRNA". It matches the Rfam family "Bacterial small subunit ribosomal RNA", at positions 28 to 1126 of the family's 1533-position model. Lineage: Bacteria; Bacillati; Actinomycetota; Actinomycetes; Mycobacteriales; Mycobacteriaceae. The record is from RNAcentral.
GACGAACGCUGGCGGCGUGCUUAACACAUGCAAGUCGAACGGAAAGGCCCUUCGGGGUACUCGAGUGGCGAACGGGUGAGUAACACGUGGGUGAUCUGCCCUGCACUUUGGGAUAAGCCUGGGAAACUGGGUCUAAUACCGAAUAUGACCAUGCGCCUCCUGGUGUGUGGUGGAAAGCUUUUGCGGUGUGGGAUGGGCCCGCGGCCUAUCAGCUUGUUGGUGGGGUAAUGGCCUACCAAGGCGACGACGGGUAGCCGGCCUGAGAGGGUGACCGGCCACACUGCGGACUGAGAUACGGCCCAGACUCCUACGGGAGGCAGCAGUGGGGAAUAUUGCACAAUGGGCGCAAGCCUGAUGCAGCGACGCCGCGUGAGGGAUGACGGCCUUCGGGUUGUAAACCUCUUUCAGCACAGACGAAGCGCAAGUGACGGUAUGUGCAGAAGAAGGACCGGCCAACUACGUGCCAGCAGCCGCGGUAAUACGUAGGGUCCGAGCGUUGUCCGGAAUUACUGGGCGUAAAGAGCUCGUAGGUGGUUUGUCGCGUUGUUCGUGAAAACUCACAGCUUAACUGUGGGCGUGCGGGCGAUACGGGCAGACUUGAGUACUGCAGGGGAGACUGGAAUUCCUGGUGUAGCGGUGGAAUGCGCAGAUAUCAGGAGGAACACCGGUGGCGAAGGCGGGUCUCUGGGCAGUAACUGACGCUGAGGAGCGAAAGCGUGGGGAGCGAACAGGAUUAGAUACCCUGGUAGUCCACGCCGUAAACGGUGGGUACUAGGUGUGGGUUUCCUUCCUUGGGAUCCGUGCCGUAGCUAACGCAUUAAGUACCCCGCCUGGGGAGUACGGCCGCAAGGCUAAAACUCAAAGAAAUUGACGGGGGCCCGCACAAGCGGCGGAGCAUGUGGAUUAAUUCGAUGCAACGCGAAGAACCUUACCUGGGUUUGACAUGCACAGGACGACUGCAGAGAUGUGGUUUCCCUUGUGGCCUGUGUGCAGGUGGUGCAUGGCUGUCGUCAGCUCGUGUCGUGAGAUGUUGGGUUAAGUCCCGCAACGAGCGCAACCCUUGUCCUAUGUUGCCAGCGGGU